RNAcentral lists this RNase P RNA (346 nucleotides) under Eubacterium sp. RNAcentral's name for it is "RNase P RNA component class A". It matches the Rfam family "Bacterial RNase P class A". Rfam says of the family: Ribonuclease P (RNase P) is a ubiquitous endoribonuclease, found in archaea, bacteria and eukarya as well as chloroplasts and mitochondria. Its best characterised activity is the generation of mature 5'-ends of tRNAs by cleaving the 5'-leader elements of precursor-tRNAs. The record is from RNAcentral. Lineage: Bacteria; Bacillati; Bacillota; Clostridia; Eubacteriales; Eubacteriaceae.
UAAGUAGAGUAAAUGAUCGCGGCCGCAGCGUAAUCGCUGCGGGUGAGGAAAGUCCGGGCUUCACAGGGCAGGAUGCCGGAUAACGUCCGGUGGAGGCGACUCCAAGGAUAGUGCAACAGAAAUAUACCGCCGGGAGAUAUCCCGGUAAGGGCGGAAGGGCAGUGUAAGAGACUACCGCCCCGCUGGUAACAGCGGGGGCAUAUGUAAACCCCAUCCGAAGCAAGACCGAACAAAAGCGUUGACGUGGCCCGCCAGCUUUAGGUUGGUCGCUUGAGACAGCUGGUAACAGCUGUCCUAGAUAGAUGAUCAUUCACGACAUAACCCGGCUUAUCGCUCUGCUUAUCAG